GAAAUGCGAUAAGUAGUGUGAAUUGCAGAAUUCAGUGAAUCAUCGAAUCUUUGAACGCACAUUGCGCCCUUUGGUAUUCCAAAGGGCAUGCCUGUUCGAGCGUCAUUUGUACCCUCAAGCUUUGCUUGGUGUUGGGCGUCUUGUCUCUAGCUUUGCUGGAGACUCGCCUUAAAGUAAUUGGCAGCCGGCCUACUGGUUUCGGAGCGCAGCACAAGUCGCACUCUCUAUCAGCAAAGGUCUAGCAUCCAUUAAGCCUUUUUUCAACUUUUGAUCUCGGAUCAGGUAGGGAUACCCGCUGAACUUAAGC
This 307-nucleotide unclassified non-coding RNA is filed under the name plant metagenome. Its description in RNAcentral is "partial contains 5.8S ribosomal RNA, internal transcribed spacer 2, and large subunit ribosomal RNA". The stretch from base 1 to 105 matches the Rfam family "5.8S ribosomal RNA", at positions 50 to 154 of the family's 154-position model. The record is from RNAcentral.